UAAAAAAUUACGAUUUUCGUUCAAUUUAAGUGCAACGACAUGAUUCAUUUUUAAUGAAAAUGUCAAUGAAGAAAGAAUUGGGGUCAGAAAACUUUUAAGUAGAAACUUGGAAUUUUCAAAAUCUAAUCCAGAUUUGGAUGAAAUUGGAGGCGUUAAGGUGUAGGAAAAUUUAGUAAUGAAUGAGAGAUCUAAUUGUGAAUUUUAUUACAUGAGCGGGUAGAUAAGAUGAUAAGGAAUUUGUAGAACUUUACGAAAUCGAAUUUGAACGAGUAGAACUCCCAAAAAUAAUCUUUUCGUGAAUGGGUGCAUUUUGUCUCCAUCGAGGUUGUGUAGCGGCAUUUUGGUCACUGGAGCAGAAUGGGUCCGCUGGAGCGAGCCAGACGCGAUUUAAAGUCGCUAAUAAACCCUAAAACAACUCUAUUUGAUAUUUUUCGACUUUUAGGGCUCAGGAGGCGACCCCAAACAAGUUCUUAACAGUUUUUCACCAUUUUUUAGGCUUAAGACUUAGAACAAGCGGAAAGAAUCUGAUAAGGGAAGAUCCAAAUGUCUUAGGGGAUUCAAGAUUUGAGGGCAUAUUUUGGCGGCUAUUGACAAACCGCGUUUAGAAGACCAGUGAGUGUUUUCAAAUUCAAGGGUGAUCUAGUUCUUUCGGGCUGCCUUGAGUUCUCUUUUGUCUAAGUCCACUCUCUUCGAACUCAGACUAUUCGUUAAGGUGUUGUUUAGUUUUGGAGUUGUACCCCUUGUUCUUAGACUUGUUAAUUAGUAGAGUUUUGGUGUAAUGACUUUCAGGUUCUAAGGUUUAUAUUUCCGCAUUUGUAUUACUUCAUUUGUUUAGUUCCUUAAUAAAUAAUUUAGCUAUUUAAUAC
Molecule: long non-coding RNA, 866 nt
Organism: Solanum pennellii
Lineage: Eukaryota; Viridiplantae; Streptophyta; Magnoliopsida; Solanales; Solanaceae
Exons: 3
Source: RefSeq, a predicted model, not a curated record